Pezoporus flaviventris is the source of this 893-nucleotide long non-coding RNA. RefSeq lists it as uncharacterized. The record is from RefSeq and is a predicted model, not a curated record. NCBI's taxonomy places the organism in Eukaryota, Metazoa, Chordata, Aves, Psittaciformes, Psittacidae. The transcript has 4 exons.
GGCGAGGGGCGAGCGCGAGGUUGGGAGUCAAGGGCCGCCGCCGCCGCCGCUGGGCGGGAGGCCAGCGCCUCGAGCCGCCCCACACAGGUACCGCACGCUGCCCUGCUAGCCUCGGCGGGCAAAGCGGUAAACAAGCCCCUGGCCCCGCUUCCAGGCCGAGCUCGUUCGCCGUGAGGCAGAGCAGUUACACCCAGCGGUGUCCUGCUGCGGCUGCUCUUCCUCUAGGCAGCCGUGCGCUGAGGAGAAAGUCUGAAAUUCCUUCCCCUGCAGUUUGCUGACAGUGACCAAGUAAAGAACAAACACCCCAAAACGCUAAGCGAGAGGCGCCGCUUAGCCCCGCUUGUAUUAAUAGUGUAUCUAUUCAACAGAAGGAUUUGGCCUUAAGUCAGAAAGAUGAGAUAAACAGGAUAACCAUUAAAACACAAAAACAUAUGGUAUCACCAACUGCGUGAAGAUCAACAUCAGAUUAAGUCCCAUUCAGUGAGCAGUGUUUAUGCAUCGUGUGGCCAGACAGGAUGUUCUACUGAUGCUUCAGACAGGGCUCCAGCUGUGUUGUAUGAAGUACAGGGACUGCAUCUCACUGCUGAAGUGAGAGAAACUACCAGAAUGUGGGAAAACCACUUUCAGUCUCUGAAGAGCCAUGUGCCACUUCAGUAUGUUGGGACAUGAGGAAAAACUGGGAUUGAACAGCAACCUGAUUAUCAACAGCAUAAGGUGGUAAGAAAAUGACAAAGCAAGGAGAGAAAAGAGUGUACGAAUCUCUACAAUAUUUUCAGGUAUGGAGUCAGAAGACUGGUUAGGAUUGGUAAAUUCGAGUUUUACAAGAGGUUGAAAGCUCUUUAUCAAUACACUUAAGCAGUUUACAGGAUUCUGGGAUAUAACUUCAGCUGAGU